AGAGCGAACGCUGGCGGCAUGCUUAACACAUGCAAGUCGCACGGUCGGGGCAACCCGGCAGUGGCGGACGGGUGAGUAACGCGUAGGUAUCUAUCCUUGGGUGGGGGACAACUGUGGGAAACUACAGCUAAUACCGCAUGAUGACUGAGGUCCAAAGGCGCAAGUCGCCUGGGGAGGAGCCUGCGUACGAUUAGCUAGUUGGUGGGGUAAAGGCCUACCAAGGCGACGAUCGUUAGCUGGUCUGAGAGGAUGAUCAGCCACAUUGGGACUGAGACACGGCCCAAACUCCUACGGGAGGCAGCAGUGGGGAAUAUUGGACAAUGGGCGCAAGCCUGAUCCAGCAAUGCCGCGUGUGUGAAGAAGGUCUUCGGAUUGUAAAGCACUUUCGACGGGGACGAUGAUGACGGUACCCGUAGAAGAAGCCCCGGCUAACUUCGCGCCAGCAGCCGC
This 450-nucleotide ribosomal RNA is filed under the name uncultured bacterium. RNAcentral describes it as "SSU rRNA". It matches the Rfam family "Bacterial small subunit ribosomal RNA", at positions 26 to 518 of the family's 1533-position model. The record is from RNAcentral.